Molecule: non-coding RNA, 1942 nt
Organism: Leptonychotes weddellii (Weddell seal)
Lineage: Eukaryota; Metazoa; Chordata; Mammalia; Carnivora; Phocidae
Source: RefSeq, a predicted model, not a curated record
ACCCAGUGCUUGGCAUCCUCCAGUCCCCCUUUCCCUUCCAUGAAUCCCCUGCCCUAUUGCGCAUGAUGAACACGUCCCAGAUGGAGAGCCGCACCUGGGCUGUGACAGCUCCCAGAUCAGUUGGGUUCGAGUUCUGGAAACAGCUGUGCGCCGAGCAUGGUAUCAGCCCCGAGGGCAUCGUGGAGGAGUUCGCCACCGAGGGCACUGACCGCAAGGACGUCUUUUUCUACCAGGCAGACGAUGAGCACUACAUCCCCAGGGCGGUGCUGCUGGACCUGGAGCCCCGGGUGAUCCACUCCAUCCUCAACUCCCCCUAUGCCAAGCUCUACAACCCAGAGAACAUCUACCUGUCGGAGCAUGGCGGAGGGGCUGGCAACAACUGGGCCAGUGGAUUCUCGCAGGGCGAGAAAAUCCACGAAGACAUUUUUGACAUCAUAGACCGAGAAGCAGAUGGAAGUGACAGCUUAGAGGGCUUCGUGCUGUGUCAUUCCAUCGCUGGGGGGACAGGUUCUGGCCUGGGCUCCUACCUUCUCGAACGACUGAAUGACAGGUACCCCAAGAAGCUGGUGCAGACGUACUCAGUGUUUCCCAACCAGGACGAGAUGAGCGAUGUGGUGGUCCAGCCCUAUAACUCCCUGCUCACGCUCAAGAGGCUGACCCAGAACGCAGACUGUGUGGUGGUGCUGGACAACACAGCCCUGAACCGGAUCGCCACCGACCGCCUGCACAUCCAGAACCCGUCUUUCUCCCAGAUCAACCAGCUGGUGUCCACCAUCAUGUCAGCCAGCACCACCACCCUGCGCUACCCCGGCUACAUGAACAACGACCUCAUCGGCCUCAUCGCCUCGCUCAUCCCCACUCCUCGACUCCACUUCCUCAUGACGGGCUACACCCCGCUCACCACGGACCAGUCGGUGGCCAGCGUGAGGAAGACCACGGUCCUGGAUGUCAUGAGGCGGCUGCUGCAGCCCAAGAACGUGAUGGUGUCCACAGGCCGGGAUCGCCAGACCAAUCACUGCUACAUCGCCAUCCUCAACAUCAUCCAGGGGGAGGUGGACCCCACCCAGGUCCACAAGAGUCUGCAGAGGAUCCGGGAACGGAAGCUGGCCAACUUCAUCCCCUGGGGCCCUGCCAGCAUCCAGGUGGCCCUGUCGAGGAAGUCUCCCUACCUGCCUUCGGCCCACCGGGUCAGUGGGCUCAUGAUGGCCAACCACACCAGCAUCUCCUCGCUCUUUGAAAGUUCCUGCCAGCAGUAUGACAAGCUGCGGAAGCGGGAGGCCUUCCUGGAGCAGUUCCGCAAGGAGGACAUCUUCAAGGAGAACUUUGAUGAGCUGGACACGUCCAGAGAGGUUGUGCAGGAACUCAUCGACGAGUACCACGCAGCCACGCGGCCAGACUACAUCUCCUGGGGCACCCAGGAGCAGUGACUUCCUCCCCACCACUUCCCCUGGACAACCCAAGGCAGUAGGCACACCGAAAUGGACCCAACGAGGGCCCAGAAGCUGGACACUGGGGUAGGAACUGGGUAGCGCCAGGCCUGAUGACUCACUGCCUUCCAGCCUCAGAGACGCCAGGAGGCCACCCCUGUGCCACUCAAUGGAGAAGUGAGUGAUGCUGUUGUCCUCCCAGGGCCUUUCCACCUGCAAUAUCCUCUACCUGGAAUGCUGUUGCCCAGAUCUUCCUGUGGCUAGCCUAAAUGUCACCUCCAGUAUCCCUUCCUGACUGUCCUACCUAAUGCUAUGACUCCUUCCAAUCUGUUCGUGUCACCCCACCCUUACCUUGGUAGCAUUUAUUCCUGUCUUAUAUAGUUUUCGAUUCCUUCUGGAGUGUCUGACAGCCUGCUCUAAUGUAAGCGCCUUGAGCUUGUCUUUGAUCACUGCUGGACCCCUGGUGCCUAGAGCUGUACCCGGUUCAGUGUUUAAUAAAAUGUUUCUUGACAUCC